Molecule: ribosomal RNA, 253 nt
Filed under: uncultured bacterium
Lineage: Bacteria
Description: partial 16S ribosomal RNA
Rfam family: Bacterial small subunit ribosomal RNA
Source: RNAcentral
UACGAAGGGGGCUAGCGUUGUUCGGAAUCACUGGGCGUAAAGGGCGCGUAGGCGGCCGAUCAAGUCGGGGGUGAAAGCCUGUGGCUCAACCACAGAAUUGCCUUCGAUACUGUUUGGCUUGAGACCGGAAGAGGUUAGUGGAACUGCGAGUGUAGAGGUGAAAUUCGUAGAUAUUCGCAAGAACACCAGUGGCGAAGGCGGCUCACUGGUCCGGUACUGACGCUGAGGUGCGAAAGCGUGGGGAGCAAACAGG